RNAcentral lists this ribosomal RNA (483 nucleotides) under uncultured bacterium. RNAcentral's name for it is "partial 16S ribosomal RNA". It matches the Rfam family "Bacterial small subunit ribosomal RNA", at positions 30 to 507 of the family's 1533-position model. The record is from RNAcentral.
AUUGAACGCUAGCGGGAUGCUUUACACAUGCAAGUCGAACGGCAGCGCGGACUUCGGUCUGGCGGCGAGUGGCGAACGGGUGAGUAAUGUAUCGGAACGUGCCCAGUAGCGGGGGAUAACUACGCGAAAGCGUAGCUAAUACCGCAUACGCCCUACGGGGGAAAGCAGGGGAUCGUAAGACCUUGCACUAUUGGAGCGGCCGAUAUCGGAUUAGCUAGUUGGUGAGGUAACGGCUCACCAAGGCGACGAUCCGUAGCUGGUUUGAGAGGACGACCAGCCAACUGGGGACUGAGACCCGCCCAGACCCCUACGGGAGGCAGCAGUGGGGAAUUUUGGACAAUGGGGGCAACCCUGAUCCAGCCACCCCGCGUGUGCGAUGAAGGCCUUCGGGUUGUAAAGCACUUUUGGCAGGAAAGAAACGUCGCGGGCUAAUACCCCGUGGAACUGACGGUACCUGCAGAAUAAGCACCGGCUAACUACGUG